RNAcentral lists this ribosomal RNA (380 nucleotides) under uncultured eukaryote. RNAcentral's name for it is "partial 18S ribosomal RNA". It matches the Rfam family "Eukaryotic small subunit ribosomal RNA", at positions 592 to 976 of the family's 1831-position model. The record is from RNAcentral.
CAAUAGCGUAUAUUAAAGUUGUUGCAGUUAAAAAGCUCGUAGUUGGAUUUGUGGCGUAUGGUGUGUUCCGGGCACUUGUUGUCUGAGUAACCUGCUGUUGCCAUCCUUGGGUGGAACCUGUGUGGCAUUAGGUUGUCGUGCAGGGGAUGCCCAUCAUUUACUGUGAAAAAAUUAGAGUGUUCAAAGCAGGCUUAUGCCGUUGAAUAUAUUAGCAUGGAAUAAUGAGAUAGGACUUUUUUGCUAUUUUGUUGGUUUGCGCAAGAAGGUAAUGAUUAAUAGGGACAGUUGGGGGUAUUCGUAUUCCAUUGUCAGAGGUGAAAUUCUUGGAUUUUUGGAAGACGAACUACUGCGAAAGCAUUUACCAAGGAUGUUUUCAUUAA